GGGCCCUCAUGCUGGAACUGCAGAGAGCUCGAAACGCUCCCGGCGCUAUAGGAUGUGGCUGCGGCCGAUUAGGUAGACGGUGGGGUAACGGCCCCACCGUGCCAAUAAUCGGUACGGGUUGUGAGAGCAAGAGCCCGGAGACGGUAUCUGAGACAAGAUACCGGGCCCUACGGGGCGCAGCAGGCGCGAAACCUUUACACUGCACGACAGUGCGAUAAGGGGACUCCGAGUGCGAGGGCAUAUAGUCCUCGCUUUUCACCACCGUAAGGAGGUGGUGGAAUAAGUGCUGGGCAAGACCGGUGCCAGCCGCCGCGGUAAUACCGGCAGCACGAGUGAUGGCCGCUCUUAUUGGGCCUAAAGCGUCCGUAGCUGGCCAGGCAAGUCCAUCGGGAAAUCCGCACGCUCAACGUGCGGGCGUCCGGUGGAAACUGCCUGGCUUGGGACCGGAAGACCCGAGGGGUACGUCCGGGGUAGGAGUGAAAUCCCGUAAUCCUGGACGGACCACCGGUGGCGAAAGCGCCUCGGGAAGACGGAUCCGACGGUGAGGGACGAAAGCUCGGGUCACGAACCGGAUUAGAUACCCGGGUAGUCCGAGCUGUAAACGAUGUCUGCUAGGUGUGACACAGGCUACGAGCCUGUGUUGUGCCGCAGGGAAGCCGUGAAGCAGACCGCCUGGGAAGUACGUCCGCAAGGAUGAAAU
RNAcentral lists this ribosomal RNA (700 nucleotides) under uncultured haloarchaeon. RNAcentral's name for it is "bacterial SSU rRNA". It matches the Rfam family "Archaeal small subunit ribosomal RNA", at positions 159 to 855 of the family's 1478-position model. Lineage: Archaea; Methanobacteriati; Methanobacteriota; Halobacteria; Halobacteriales; Halobacteriaceae. The record is from RNAcentral.